AUUGAACGCUGGCGGCAGGCUUAACACAUGCAAGUCGAACGAGUGGAGGACGGGUGAGUAAUGCUUGGGAAACUAGCUUAUGUAGGGGGAAAACUACGGGAACCUGUCGCUACUACCGCGUACCAUAGGAUGAGACGAAGUGGGAUUAGGUAGUUGGUGAGGUAAAGGCUCACCAAGACGACACUCUCUAGCAGGUCGGAGAGGAUGACCGGCCACACUGGGACCGAGACACUGCCCAGACGCCUACGGGAGGCAGCAGUGGGGAAUAUUGCGCAAUGGGCGUAAGCUGACGGAGCCAUGCCGCGUGAGUGAAGAAGGCCUUCGGGUUGUAAAGUUCUUGCGGUAGCGAGGCGUUAACUACAGAAGAAGCACCGGCUAACUCCGUGCCAGCAGCCGCGGUAAUAC
This 405-nucleotide ribosomal RNA is filed under the name uncultured bacterium. RNAcentral describes it as "partial 16S ribosomal RNA". It matches the Rfam family "Bacterial small subunit ribosomal RNA", at positions 30 to 526 of the family's 1533-position model. The record is from RNAcentral.